This is a non-coding RNA of Zonotrichia albicollis (white-throated sparrow), 1366 nucleotides long. Lineage: Eukaryota; Metazoa; Chordata; Aves; Passeriformes; Passerellidae. The record is from RefSeq and is a predicted model, not a curated record.
UCUGGAGUUUGUUGGCUGUGCUGUGAAGAAGAAGGAGUUAGUGCUAUGAGGAGCUGCCUAUGAGCAAUCACUGAGAAGGUGUGACUCCUAAAGACAAGAUUCAGGGAUGAUGAACAUUGGGAUGUUUUGCCUGAAGAAGUAACCACAGCACCAGAGAAAAGUCUCACUAGAAAAGAUUGAAGAGGAAAGUGUAAACUGCUUGGAGCUGAGUGAAGUGGAGCGUGGUCAGAGGAGAAGAGUUCCUUUGCUGUUUCAAGCCAGAACUGUGAGUGUUUUGACAGUUAUUCAUUGGAUGAAGGCAGAGGGAAUUAAAUGUUAUGUUCUAAAUCCAGGACAUCUUUGUUGCAGUUUGCUAGGAUUAUUUUGACUUUUGGCAAUCCUCAAGGUGAAUGUUCAAAAUUGUUUCGUUUAAUGAUUUUAAGUAUUACUUAACAGAAAUCUGCCUACUAUAGUAAAAUUCUUCAUCACAGUUAAAAGGAUGGUAUGAAAAGUUUCACAAUGCAACAGAAGGACUAUUGCCUUUGCAUCAAUAAAGCAGAGCAAGUAUAAAAUAAAUGCUGUAACAUGAGCAUGUAAAGGACAUGGUGGUGACUAAGUAGAAUUUUUCCUUUUUAGAAAAGGAAAAAGUAAGAUGAAUGAAAAAUAAAGGUUAACUUAGGCCCACAUAACCACGUGGAUAUAUUUUUAAUACUCAUUUUGAAUAUGGGGAUCUCAAGGCAGUUGUUUCAUGGACAUUUUUGUGUACUGAUUUUAAUAUUCAUCCAGCCAUGCACUGCCCUGCAGGGGAGAACCCUGAUCUAAGCCUGGAGUUGUUACUUUUGACUUCAUUCUUUCAGUCAGUGCUGGAGAAGAUAAAAGCUCUCUCUUUCUCUGUCUCCCCCAACCCCUUCCCUCCAUUAACUUGAUAAUGCAUUGAGUAACAGUUGGCAGCUUUGUGAGUUGUUUUGAAAGCUAAAAAAACCCCAUUUUGUACCUUAGAGACUAAAUGCUGCUUGUGAAAUAAGUGAUGCUGUAUGCUUUGUCAGUUUAUUGGCCGCUUUCUCACAUGCUCUUUUGGAAAAUCCCUGCAGUCCUCAUGCACUUCUUCCCACCAUUCCCUUCCCCUACUUGCACACUACAGAAGAUACCUCCAGUUUUUCUAUUGUCAUGUUGCUUGAAAAGCUUUUGUCUUUUAGCAUCCAAAUGCUGUUCCCAGGGGACCUUCUAGAAAUUGUUCACCCUGACUCAUGUGAAACUGAGCUAAAUCUCUUCCGAUCAAAAGAGUUUAAAACUGUUUUUCUGAGAAAAUGAUGUCUGACACUGUAAUUUCCAUUUGAAAACAGCUAACAUCUGUGGAAAGUGCAUAACCAAUGCCUGAGGAAUUUCU